This 353-nucleotide ribosomal RNA is filed under the name uncultured eukaryote. RNAcentral's name for it is "LSU rRNA". It matches the Rfam family "Bacterial large subunit ribosomal RNA", at positions 2127 to 2479 of the family's 2925-position model. The record is from RNAcentral.
GCUUAUUUUGCGCAGCUUAGGUGGGAGGCUAUGAACCUCUUCUUCUGGGAAGAGGGGAGCCAUCAGUGAGAUACCACUCUUGGUAAGCUAGAGCGCUCAGUCUUCACCGUCAUCCGGUAAGACGACAGUUUCAGGCGGGCAGUUUGACUGGGGCAGUCACCUCCCAAAAGGUAAUGGAGGUGUGCAAAGGUUCCCUCAGGCUGGACGGAAAUCAGCCAUAGAGUGUAAAAGCAUAAGGGAGCUUGACUGCGAGACUGACAUGUCAAGCAGAGACGAAAGUCGGCUUUAGUGAUCCGACGGUGCUGUGUGGAAAGGCCGUCGCUCAACGGAUAAGAGUUACUCUAGGGAUAACA